AGCUUAGUGGCGAACGGGUGAGUAACACGUGAAGAACCUGCCCUUCAGUGGGGGACAACAGUUGGAAACGACUGCUAAUACCGCAUAAGACCACAGUACCGCAUGGUACAGUGAUCAAAGGAUUUAUUCGCUGAAGGAUGGCUUCGCGUCCGAUUAGGUAGUUGGUGAGGUAACGGCCCACCAAGCCUACGAUCGGUAGCCGGACUGAGAGGUUGAUCGGCCACAUUGGGACUGAGACACGGCCCAGACUCCUACGGGAGGCAGCAGUGGGGAAUAUUGCACAAUGGAGGAAACUCUGAUGCAGCGACGCCGCGUGAGGGAAGAAGGUCUUCGGAUUGUAAACCUCUGUCUUCAGGGACGAUAAUGACGGUACCUGAGGAGGAAGCACCGGCUAACUACGUGCCAGCAGCCGCGGUAAAACGUAGGGUGCAAGCGUUGUCCGGAAUUACUGGGUGUAAAGGGAGCGCAGGCGGGAAGGUAAGUUGGAUGUUUAAUCUACGGGCUCAACCCGUAUCAGCAUUCAAAACUAUUUUUCUUGAGUAGUGCAGAGGUAGGCGGAAUUCCCGGUGUAGCGGUGGAAUGCGUAGAUAUCGGGAGGAACACCAGUGGCGAAGGCGGCCUACUGGGCACUAACUGACGCUGAGGCUCGAAAGCAUGGGUAGCAAACAGGAUUAGAUACCCUGGUAGUCCAUGCCGUAAACGAUGAUUACUAGGUGUGGGAGGAUUGACCCCUUCCGUGCCGCAGUUAACACAAUAAGUAAUCCACCUGGGGAGUACGACCGCAAGGUUGAA
RNAcentral lists this ribosomal RNA (792 nucleotides) under uncultured bacterium. RNAcentral's name for it is "bacterial SSU rRNA". It matches the Rfam family "Bacterial small subunit ribosomal RNA", at positions 89 to 898 of the family's 1533-position model. The record is from RNAcentral.